GGAGAAGUACUCAAGUGGCCGAAGAGGCGUGACUCGAAAUCUCGUAGGGCGUGAAAGCGUCGCGUGGGUUCAAAUCCCACCUUCUCCGCCA
RNAcentral lists this transfer RNA (91 nucleotides) under Clostridia bacterium. Its description in RNAcentral is "tRNA-Ser". It matches the Rfam family "tRNA". Rfam says of the family: Transfer RNA (tRNA) molecules are approximately 80 nucleotides in length. Their secondary structure includes four short double-helical elements and three loops (D, anti-codon, and T loops). Lineage: Bacteria; Bacillati; Bacillota; Clostridia. RNAcentral also lists the same sequence under 1 other name. The record is from RNAcentral.